RNAcentral lists this ribosomal RNA (253 nucleotides) under uncultured bacterium. RNAcentral's name for it is "partial 16S ribosomal RNA". It matches the Rfam family "Bacterial small subunit ribosomal RNA", at positions 524 to 776 of the family's 1533-position model. The record is from RNAcentral.
UACAGAGGGGGCAACCGUUAUUCGGAAUUAUUGGGCGUAAAGGGCGCGUAGGCGGCCUGGCAAGUGGAAGGUGAAAUCCCUCGGCUUAACCGAGGAACUGCCCUCCAAACUGCUUGGCUUGAGUCCGGGAGAGGUGAGUGGAAUUCCCAGUGUAGCGGUGAAAUGCGUAGAUAUUGGGAGGAACACCAGUGGCGAAGGCGGCUCACUGGACCGGAACUGACGCUGAGGCGCGAAAGCGUGGGGAGCAAACGGG